AAGUCGUAACAAGGUUUCCGUAGGUGAACCUGCGGAAGGAUCAUUCAAAAUAAAAGUGAAUUUUAUGGCACUUUUAAAAAAAUCCAUAUCCACCUUGUGUGCAAUGUAAUUUUGAAAGAGGAUAUAGGAUUUUUUUUAUUUUUAUCCUUUUUUCUAAUAUCAUCAACUCUUUGCUUUGAAACCUGUUUGUCUGAUAUAAAAAUAUUCUUGAAUAACUUAAUUCAAAAAUACAACUUUCAACAACGGAUCUCUUGGCUCUC
Molecule: unclassified non-coding RNA, 260 nt
Filed under: Mortierella sp.
Lineage: Eukaryota; Fungi; Mortierellomycota; Mortierellomycetes; Mortierellales; Mortierellaceae
Description: partial internal transcribed spacer region
Rfam family: Eukaryotic small subunit ribosomal RNA (bases 1-46)
Source: RNAcentral